Molecule: ribosomal RNA, 253 nt
Filed under: uncultured bacterium
Lineage: Bacteria
Description: partial 16S ribosomal RNA
Rfam family: Bacterial small subunit ribosomal RNA
Source: RNAcentral
UACGUAGGGGGCGAGCGUUGUCCGGAAUCAUUGGGCGUAAAGGGCGCGUAGGCGGCCUUCUAAGUCGAACGUGAAAUCCCCGGGCUCAACCCGGGAACUGCGUCCGAUACUGGAAGGCUUGAAUCCGGGAGAGGGAUGUGGAAUUCCAGGUGUAGCGGUGAAAUGCGUAGAUAUCUGGAGGAACACCGGUGGCGAAGGCGACAUCCUGGACCGGUAUUGACGCUGAGGCGCGAAAGCCAGGGGAGCAAACGGG